UCGUGCUAGACGGGGUGCUAGCGGUACCCUGAACCCGCAAUCCGCUCUAACGGGGUUGAAUUCCCCCUCCCGGUCUGGCGCCACCCGAGACGGCGCUGAUCGUUCUGGUGUUGAUGGUUGGGUCCUACGCGGCAGGGCACUUCGAACUCCGUCAGGUCCGGAAGGAAGCAGCGGUAAGAAGACCGUCCUGGGUGCCGUAGGGCAGCCUGACCUGAGCUAGCCGGUCUGCGUACGUUGGGUGGCAGGACCAAAAGGGGGUGCACGA
This 265-nucleotide signal recognition particle RNA is filed under the name Dehalococcoidia bacterium. Its description in RNAcentral is "signal recognition particle sRNA large type". It matches the Rfam family "Bacterial large signal recognition particle RNA". From Rfam's summary of the family: The signal recognition particle (SRP) is a universally conserved ribonucleoprotein involved in the co-translational targeting of proteins to membranes. Lineage: Bacteria; Bacillati; Chloroflexota; Dehalococcoidia. The record is from RNAcentral.